GGCGUGGCCGAGUGGUUAAGGCGAUGGACUGCUAAUCCAUUGCUCUUUGGUUAGUAAAAUCUCCACCAAAUCCUGUCCUCCUUCCGUCAACUUACCCUUCCCUUCACCCCUUCCCCUAAAGAGCGCGAGAGUUCGAAUCUCUCCGCC
Molecule: transfer RNA, 147 nt
Filed under: uncultured Bolidomonas
Lineage: Eukaryota; Bolidophyceae
Rfam family: tRNA
About the family: Transfer RNA (tRNA) molecules are approximately 80 nucleotides in length. Their secondary structure includes four short double-helical elements and three loops (D, anti-codon, and T loops). Further hydrogen bonds mediate the characteristic L-shaped molecular structure. tRNAs have two regions of fundamental functional importance: the anti-codon, which is responsible for specific mRNA codon recognition, and the 3' end, to which the tRNAs corresponding amino acid is attached (by aminoacyl-tRNA synthetases). tRNAs cope with the degeneracy of the genetic code in two manners: having more than one tRNA (with a specific anti-codon) for a particular amino acid; and 'wobble' base-pairing, i.e. permitting non-standard base-pairing at the 3rd anti-codon position.
Source: RNAcentral